AUGGUGGCAUUGGGUGGACAAUUCUCCAGUGUCCUACAGUCAGACUCAGAUGCUGAACAAUUAAAAGAGACAAACCACAAUUGGGUGAGGCUGGCGCUGCCUACCCUGGGACGCUGGAGCAGACCAGAUAAAGCGUAUACACGGCGGCGGCUGAGUCCGGGAUCGGGAAGCGGCCGCCGCCAAGUCUGCGUGCUGCCCUUUUCGCCCUGCCCCGUUUCGGAUUCCGGGGGCGCCUUUCCUUACCAGAGCUCGGGCCCAGUGAAUUUCACGGUAGACCAGAUCCAGGCCAUCAUGGGCAAGAAGGCCAACAUCCAUAACAUGUCUGUCAUUGCCCACGUGGAUCAUGGCAAGUCCAUGCUGACAGACUCCCUUGUGUGCAAGGCAGGUAUCAUUGCAUCGGCCUGGGCUGGGGAAACACGAUUCACUGACACCCAGAAGGAUGAGCAGGAGUGUUGCAUCACCAUCAAGUCAACUGCUAUCUCCCUUUUCUAUGAGCUUUCUGAAAAUGACUUGAACUUCAUUAAGCAGAGCAAGGAUGGCUCUGGUUUCCUCAUCAACCUCAUUGACUCUCCUGGGCAUGUAGACUUUUCCUCAGAGGUGACAGCUGCCCUCUGAGUCACCGAUGGUGCCUUGGUGGUGGUGGACUGUGUGUCAGGCGUGUGUGUGCAGACAGAGACGGUGCUGAGGCAAGCCAUUGCUGAGCACAUCAAGCCUGUACUGAUGAUGAACAAGAUGGACCGUGCUCUGCUUGAGCUGCAGCUGGAGCCUGAGGAGCUCUACCAGAACUUUCAGCGUGUAGUGGAGAACAUGAAUGUCAUCAUCUCCACCUACUGGGAGGACAAGAGCAGCCCCAUGGGCAACAUCAUGAUUGACCCUGUCCUUGGCACCGUGGGUUUUGGGUCUGGCCUCCAUGGUUGGGCCUUCACCCUGAAGCAGUUUGCAGAGAUGUAAGUGACCAAGUUGGCAGCCAAUGGUGAGGGCCAGCUUGGGCCAGCUGAGCAGGCCAAUAAAGUGGAGGACAUGAUAAAGAAGCUGUGGGGUGACCAGUACUUUGACCCAGCCAAUGGCAAAUUCAGCAAGUCAGCCACCAGCCCUGACGGAAAGAAGCUUCCACGGAAGUUCUGUCAGCUCAUCUUAGAUCCCAUCUUCAAGGUGAUUCAUGCAAUCAUGAAUUUCAAGAAAGAGGAGACAGCAAAACUGAUUGAAAAAUUGGACAUCAAGUUGGACAGUGAAGAUAAGGACAAAGAAGGCAAACCUCUGCUGAAGGCUGUGAUGCACCGCUGGCUGCCUGCUGGGGAUGCCCUGUUUCAGAUGAUCACCAUCCACCUGCCUUCCCCCGUGAUGAGCCAGAGGUACCCUGUGAACUUCUGUACGAGGGGCCCCAGAUGACGAGGCUGCCAUGGGCAUUAAAAACUGUGACCCCAAAGGCCCCCUCAUGAUGUACAUUUCCAAAAUGGUGCCAACCUCUGACAAAGCUUUUAUGCCUUCGGACAUGUCUUCUCGGGGCUGGUGUCUACCCGCCUGAAGGUCAGGAUCAUGGGGCCCAACUAUACCCCCAAGAAGAAGGAGAACCUCUACCUGAAGCCCAUCCAGAGAACAAUUCUGAUGAUAGGCUGCUACGUGGAACCCAUAGAAGACGUGCCUUGCGGGAACAUUGUGGGCCUGGUGGGUGUUGACCAGUUCCUGGUGAAGACAGGCACCAUCACCACCUUUGAGCAUUCCCACAACAUGAGGGUGAUGAAGUUCAGUGUCAGCCCUGUUGUCAGGGUUGCCAUGGAAGCCAAGAACCAAGCUGACAUGCCUAAGCUGGUGGAGGGGCUAAAGCACCUGGCCAAGGUGCAGUGCAUCAUUGAGGAUUCUGGGGAGCAUAUUAUUGCAGGCGCCUGGGUGCUGCACCUAGAAAUCCGCCUGAAGGAUCUGGAGGAGGACCACGCCUGCAUCCCCAUCAUGAAAUCUGACCCAGUUGUCUCAUAUCAUGAGACAGUUAGUAAGGUGUCCAGGGUGCUCUGCCUCUCUAAGUCGCCCAACAAGCACGACCAGCUCUACAUGAAAGCUCACCCCUUCCCUGAUGGUCUGGCUGAGGACAUCCACAAGGGUGAGGUGUCUGCCUGCCAGGAGCUGAAGCAGCGGGCACAGUACCUGGCUGAGAAGUAUGAGUGGGAUGUGGCUGAGGCCCGCAAGAUCUGGUGCUUUGGGCCUGAUGGCACUGGCCCAAACAUUCUCACUGACAUCACCAAGGGCGUGCAGUACCUCAAUGAAAUCAAGGACAGCGUGGUGGCUGGCUUCCAGUGGGCCACCAAGGAGGGAGCAUUGUGUGAAGAGAACAUACAGGGUGUGCGCUUUGAUGUUCAUGAUGUGACAUUGCUUACGGAUGCCAUCCACCUUGGGGGUGAACAGAUCACCCCCACAGCCCGGCGCUGCCUGUAUGCCAGUGUGCUGACCUUGUGCAAAUACAAUGUCCAGAACUAGUGGUUGGUGGCAUAUACGGUGUACUGAACAGGAAGCGGGGCCAUGUCUUCGAGGAGUCCCAGGUGGCUGGCACACCGAUGUUUAUUGUUAAAGCCUCUUUGCCCUUCAAUGAGUCCUUUGGCUUCACUGCCGACUUGAGGUCCAACACAGGUGGCCAGACCUUCCCCCAGUGCAUGUUUGACCACUGGCAGAUCCUGCCCGGAGACCCCUUUGACCAGACCAGUCACCCCAGCCAGGUUGUUGCAGAGACCCGUUAGCGCAAAGGCCUGAAGGAAGGCAUCCCAGCCCUGGACAACUUUCUGGACAAAUUGUAGGCUGCCCCUGCUGCAGCGCCCCCCACUUUGGUGGGAUGGGCUCAGCACCCACACUCAGUUUGACCAUAGCAACACGUCCUCAUUCUCAGACAACACCUCGAGACUGACCUGACACAACACAGUGAUGCUCCACCUGAGAGGUUCUGGGGCCAUCGCUCAAUGUUAACACUUGAUGCCGUUUCUUUUGAUAUUUAUUUCCAGAUUGCGGGGGCAGCAGAAAUGCCCUCUUUAUAGGGACUGAUUUGGCCGGUGGGGCAGAGGGAGGAGGGAUGGGACACUCAACGUUUUUUUUCCAUUUCUUUAGAGGGAAACUCAGAUGUCCAAAAAUUUUUAAAAGAAUGCAUUAAAAGGUAUAUUUGGGCAAAUGGCCCAUAGUGGUUUUUUCCCCCAGAAAGGAGGAAGGAACAGCAGGUAGGUAAUUUCUAGAAGGCAGGGAGUCCUGUGUGGUGUGACCAUGAGCAACUCCAGCUGUGUCAGUGCCAUUGGAAUAAUAAAUUUGAUACGGUGGUGACUUCAAAAAAAAAAAAAA
Nycticebus coucang (slow loris) is the source of this 3312-nucleotide RNA transcript. It is a transcript of the gene named elongation factor 2-like, with no coding region annotated. The transcript is spliced from 2 exons. The record is from RefSeq and is a predicted model, not a curated record. NCBI's taxonomy places the organism in Eukaryota, Metazoa, Chordata, Mammalia, Primates, Lorisidae.